CUAAAACUGUAAGAGAGUUCCUGACUGUGACCCUUAACAGUCAUUCUCUUACCUUAUAACAAACCUAGAAAUGAGAAAAUGCUUGAGCAGAUUGGCCUGGUGGUGUGGGAGGAUGAAUGGAUUCUUGGGGAUAUUGGGGGUUAGCUUGAGCAGCACACCGAUGAUCCAGUAGCUUCAGUGAUCUCAGCCAGGAAGCUUAAAAUAGACCAGCAAGUGGAUCUGAGAUGUUUUUAGCAAGCUGGUUGCUGACUUACUGUGGCCUUUGCCAAAAUCAGCAAUCAGAGAAGGAAGAGAGGCUGGUUUACCACAUUUCUCCUUAGCUCCUGUUUCCCCACAGGUCUCCAUUAGGAUAUCAGCAAGUAAUUACUCAGUAAGUAAACCAUCUAUGUUGAGUUGCUUCUUUAAAAUUGGCUUACUUGGAACUAUGCUGUGAGAUUGGCAAAUCAUCUACCUAGACGCAGCGGAACAUGUGUUACGGCUCAUCUCCUUCAGACCAGAGGCUGUUCCAGCUUCUUGUGAAAGUCAAGUCCAGAAUGUGCUCAGUAAUGAAAGUAAAUAGGGCACAGAACAUGAGAACAUGAACAGGCCUGGAGAAGAGAUGUCCCAAGUCCAUCAUUGCGCAAAGGAGGAAACUGAAGCCCAGAGAGGAAGACAAGUGACCCAGGAUGACAGCUACUGAGUGGAGCAGAGUCAUACCUGGCCCUGAAUCUUCAGACUUCCAGCCUGAGCCUCCCAAGCCUCAUCUUUUGUUGUUUGGCAAAAAGGGCUGCAUAGCAAUGCAAAGUCAGGUGGAACGGAGCACAGGCCUAAGCUUGGCAAAUGUCCCUGAAAACCUGUUGCGAUGAUUAAAAGUUAAUAUGUGUUGGGCGCUUCACACAGUGUCUGGGCCAUAGCAGAUGCUCAGAAGAGGGCUGUCCAUGGGAAAAGUCCACACUGGGUCAUCCCAAGAAAGAUGGGUUUGUUGUGCCCGUGCUUUCACCCGCAUCAAGCCCACAAUUACCCAGUGUCCAUUCCAUGAAGGUGUGGAAAAGGGUCUUUGAUCAAUUUAAAGAUUAGUUUGGUAGUCAUAGAUAGAUAGAGUGAAUGCAACAUGAAGAGAAAAGUCUCAAUGUUUUUUCUAGGAACUGCUAUAGGAAUGAGUUUGGUGACUUUCACUAUCUGAGAUCCCUUAUCUGCAUCUCUAAGCCUGAGGCUCAGCCUGAAUGAAGGACCAGUGUUUCCCCCAUGUGCAGUCUGAGGCCCACUUGGAAAUGCUCCCCUGGGCUUGGAAAAUUCCCCAAGGGGAGAAAGAUCCAUGUCAGUCCCUACCCAGGGCUUCCAGCAUGGAGGUGGCUGGAGGAGGCAGGCUGGCUGGCUCUGCAUUCUUCAUGCCCCUGUUCUCUAUGGCAGGCCUCCUGCAGUCUCUGUGCUGACAUUAAGUGGUCUGAGCAGUGCUGUGGGAGGACAUGGUAAACUUGCCUGCUUGUAACAGAGAAGCGAGGGCUUUGGUGACUUCCAAGAUUUAAGCAUACAUUUUUCCAAAUCUUUUGGACCCUAACAUGCAUGGUCUGAGAACUUCUUGGCUCACUGCUGAAUCCCCUUAACCCCACAGCCACCCGUUUGUUCACUGUCCUCAUUAUGCUCCCUCCCUGUCCCUGCCUAGGGCAACAGGAGCCUCAGAGCCUUGUAUACAACCACUGUGGCUGUAUUUUCCUUAUUUUGAUACAGAACUCACUCCAGGCUUCAUUUCCUUCUCCUCCUAUUUCAAACCCUCUCUUGCCUGGGACUUCCCAGCCUCAACCUUGUUGACAUCACUCCCAGGUUCUCCUUUCUGGCUUUCAUCUAGCUGCUUCUCAGUGCAGCAUCUUUGAAUCCACCCCUUCAGCAACACACUCAACAGUUACAAGCACCUGAAGUCCUGUUCUUGGGGCCAACCCAGUAACCAGAUCUAGGUUGGGCUCAGGGCCAAGGUGCAGGGGAGAUAGAAACGUUUCCAACAAUAUCUAAAUUCAAUUUCUGUGACAGCCAGUGUCAUUGCCCUCAUCCAUCCCAUGCCCAGUAUCCUUUGGGCCCUAAAGUUUCAGUAUCUACAUCUUUGUACAUGAGGGUUUUUACCCCUUCCUUUCCUUAGAAGUGCCACAGCCCCCAGAGUAGCUUUCAACAAACACUAACAACACUAACAAGAGGUGGUGUGUAAAUACUCCAGCUUCCCUGUGCCUCAGGUGGUAAGGCUCUGAGAAGUGGGUUUCCCACCACGGUCUUUCCAUGGGUUAAGGUCUCAGCCAGGGUAACUGGUUUAGUAACUCACAUGUUAUUGGCAGCUUUCACUUCUCUACCACACCCCUCCAGUGGACCCUACAUCUUCCAAAUAAACCUCUUGUGCUCAAAUCUGUGUCUUAAAGUUAGCUUCCAGGGAAAGCCAAAGUAAGACAGUUUUGAAACUCAUUCCUUGGUGGGAAAUUGGAAAUGGACCAAGACUAGAAAGGAUGAGUAGGCUGUUGUCAUGCCACACCGACGGAGGUGCUCAAUCUGGGCUCUAAGCAGUGCCCAGCCUACACACGCGACCUUGAUGGAGGUCACCCCCCUCCAUGUGAAGCCCUCAGCAGCUCACCCACCUCACCCUGGUCCUGGCCCCACCUGUGGAGGAAUCUGAAGUGGCAUCCUGAAUGCUAAUUCUUAUUAUCUGUAAUAGCAUCACCAGUUUGGAGUUGCCUGAUAAUUUCAUAUCUAUGCAAUUAUUGUUAAUGUAACUAUCUUCCAUUUUAGAAUGUGAUCUCUGAAAGAUCUUGUGCUAGUUUGAAUCAUUUUCAGAUUAUGUAAUAGGACACUGUGAGGACUAAAUUGUUUUUCCUUUCUCCCUAAAUUCAUCUUGGAGCCCUAAACCUCAAUGUGACUGUAUUUGGAGAUAAAGCCUUUAAUUAGGUAAGUAAGGGUACAUGAGGUCAUAAAGAUGGGGCCCAGAUCUGAUAGGACUGUUGGUAACAGACACCAGAAAUCUCCUCUCCUGUGCACUCAAAGAGACUCUAUGUGCCCAGAGCGAGACGGUGGCUGCCCAGAAGCCAAAAGAAGAGGCCUCAGCGUGCAACCUACCUUUCCAUGC
Heterocephalus glaber (naked mole-rat) is the source of this 3079-nucleotide long non-coding RNA. The record is from Ensembl. NCBI's taxonomy places the organism in Eukaryota, Metazoa, Chordata, Mammalia, Rodentia, Bathyergidae.